GGCCUAUACGCCAUAUAUAU
RNAcentral lists this non-coding RNA (20 nucleotides) under Arabidopsis thaliana (thale cress). The record is from RNAcentral. Lineage: Eukaryota; Viridiplantae; Streptophyta; Magnoliopsida; Brassicales; Brassicaceae.